This 466-nucleotide ribosomal RNA is filed under the name uncultured bacterium. Its description in RNAcentral is "partial 16S ribosomal RNA". It matches the Rfam family "Bacterial small subunit ribosomal RNA", at positions 28 to 507 of the family's 1533-position model. The record is from RNAcentral.
GAUGAACGCUGGCGGCGUGCUUAAUACAUGCAAGUCGAACGAUGAAGCCCAGCUUGCUGGGUGGAUUAGUGGCGAACGGGUGAGUAACACGUGAGUAACCUGCCCUUGACUCUGGGAUAAGCGCUGGAAACGGCGUCUAAUACCGGAUACGAGCUUCCACCGCAUGGUGAGUUGCUGGAAAGAAUUUCGGUCAAGGAUGGACUCGCGGCCUAUCAGGUAGUUGGUGAGGUAACGGCUCACCAAGCCGACGACGGGUAGCCGGCCUGAGAGGGUGACCGGCCACACUGGGACUGAGACACGGCCCAGACUCCUACGGGAGGCAGCAGUGGGGAAUAUUGCACAAUGGGCGCAAGCCUGAUGCAGCAACGCCGCGUGAGGGACGAAGGCCUUCGGGUCGUAAACCUCUUUUAGCAGGGAAGAAGCGAAAGUGACGGUACCUGCAGAAAAAGCACCGGCUAACUACGUG